UACAGAGACUGCGAGCGUUAUUCGGAUUCAUUGGGCGUAAAGGGUGCGUAGGCGGCGCGGUAAGUCGGGUGUGAAAUCUCGGGGCUUAACUCCGAAACUGCAUUCGAUACUGCCGUGCUUGAGGACUGGAGAGGAGACUGGAAUUUACGGUGUAGCGGUGAAAUGCGUAGAUAUCGUAAGGAAGACCAGUGGCGAAGGCGGGUCUCUGGACAGUUCCUGACGCUGAGGCACGAAGGCCAGGGGAGCAAACGGG
RNAcentral lists this ribosomal RNA (253 nucleotides) under uncultured bacterium. Its description in RNAcentral is "partial 16S ribosomal RNA". It matches the Rfam family "Bacterial small subunit ribosomal RNA", at positions 524 to 776 of the family's 1533-position model. The record is from RNAcentral.